GUGUCGCUGCUAAAGGGCACCCCGCCGUCCCCCCACCAAUUACGAUGUACUCGUACUCGUAGUAUGACACGCUUGGAGCUGAGCUUGCAUUCUUCAUAAACAAAACAAAGAAAAAGAAGUGUGUCAUUACGUACCUCUCUGUGAAGCACCAUGUUUAGGAGAGAAGAGAAUCCCAGCAAGAGAAACCAGUAUCAGCCUCCACCACCAUAUUCCCAUUACUGUCACACCACAGCACAGCUAAACUUCAAGCGAUGGUUUGUGAUUCCAAGUUGGUUUGGUUUAUUGUUCUGCUCAUUCAUACCAACCUAUAAAGCCAAAAGCUCAACGGAACCCGCGGCUAUAAGUUUGACUAACGUAAAGACCACUUUCAGUUUUUGUCGCACAAACCAAGACCAAUACUCCCUCCGUGUGAUGUUGUCAUGUGUAGAACCCGUGGGGCCCACAAUGAUUCAAGAAAAUGCACACUCUGUGAUUUGCUUAUCGCGCUCACAAUAUCUUUUGCCUCGCCCAAUUUAUUGCACCAACCUAUCUCAGUAAGGAAAUUUGUAUAUAUUUCUUAAUUGAAAGAAGGAAAAAGUGUUAUAAUCUUUA
Long non-coding RNA from Glycine soja, 591 nucleotides. RefSeq lists it as uncharacterized. The transcript has 2 exons. Lineage: Eukaryota; Viridiplantae; Streptophyta; Magnoliopsida; Fabales; Fabaceae. The record is from RefSeq and is a predicted model, not a curated record.